CGUUAUAGCGCCAAGUCCUGUGGUCGAUACUAUUCGCAGCAUGGUUUUUGGUGGUAACAGGAGUAAAUUUAAUUGUCGUUUUAGUUGUUAUGACAACGAAAAAAUGCGAAUUGUUACCAAUUAUUUCGCAGAUACACGGCGCUCAUUUUUGUAUACCUGUCCGAGCUCACCGAAAAACCGUCGCGUAACUUCACGUGACAUUUUUUUAAUUAUUGUUCAAAAUGUACCAAUCAGCUGUGGCAAUCAAACAAAAUACAGACAAAGCUUUAUCGUUUGAAAUCCUAGUAAUUCCUAAACAGUCCAAAAGUGUGCCUUGUGGUGUAAGCUUGUUGCUGAUGCAUGUCACCAUUGGAUUUAUAACACCAACCAGACAAACGUAUCUGACUAGCCAAUUGAAAAACAAUUUAUUAUACAUUUGGCAAAUGUGUUGGAGCCUAAAGGAAAAAUAUUAAAAUUUAUGUUGUUUAUUACAAUCUUUGUAAUAAAUAUUAUACGCUAUGGUUGUUAUAUUAUCUUAGCUUAAUCGAAUACCUACUUAUAUGACAGGAAGUUGCGACAUCAGCCUGGACAAGCGGUGUUUUAAGGAGUUAUAUAUGGAAUAAAUACGAAUAAAGUCAAGCCUACAUCAUCACCGACCUGUUAAAUAAUCAAUCGAGGCACUUCGAACUAAUUUAAGAGAAUCAACAUCGCACUGAAGGUGAUUUUUUUCUGUGAUAUUAGAUAUAUCUAACAUAUUCUUAAAAUAUUUCUAUAUAUUGAGAUGAAAAAAUAAUGUCAAAUAGUGGUAAGCUUUUAUUGUUAAUAUUAUUCUAAAACUUUUUUAAAUUAAAAUUGUUUUUAUUUAAAACCGAUAUUUUAAUAUAAUGAUGCAUUUACCAUUUUGAAAUCAUCAACGUUUAAUUCUGUAUUGAAAUAAAUGAAAUGCAUAUGUAUACUA
Molecule: RNA transcript, 937 nt
Organism: Bactrocera neohumeralis
Lineage: Eukaryota; Metazoa; Arthropoda; Insecta; Diptera; Tephritidae
Exons: 5
Source: RefSeq, a predicted model, not a curated record